GACGGUUGUACUUCUAUUUUUGUUGGGUCUGGCGGUUGUAUCCCAAGGUCUUAUUUUUCCCAAUUGUUUUGGCGUCUUUCCUCUCGGAGUCGGUGACACAGGUGCGCAGACUGCAUGUGGCUUCCUUAUUUUCCCAGCCUGAACGAGCUCUGAGGCACUAUUUUUUUAUUAGAAUGUCUAUCAUAUCCCAUUCUCCACCUCCAAACCACCAGUCAUCCUCUUCUUGAGAAUGAAGCAUCCUAGCUUACCUGGUCAUUUUCUCUCUGGAAUCUCCAGUGGAGUAUACCAUAUGCAGAAGCAAUGUAUAACUAAAGCACUUCAUUCAUAGCUGAGUUCCUUCAAGAGACUAAGAUGGUGAUAAUAGGUCUCUGAAAACGAAAUGUAUAAAUUUAGCUCAUCUGCAGAGGAACACUAAACCGAGUUCUUGGGUUGGAGAACUAUGAAUGAUGUGCAUUUACAGAGCUAUGGAAAAAGAACCAGAGUGCCCACAUUGAUUUUCUUCAUCUUCUUACCUUUGUGCCUGGGGCUUCAGUUUCAUGUGCUCCAGUUCGGUUGCAUGACUGCAUGCUAAUAAUUCAUACCACUGGCCAGUGUUCUCCCUUCCUGCCUCAUUCACCCCACCUCCGCCUGGAUGAACAGAAAAGGAAUAGGAUAGAUGACCUGGGGAGAUGGUACUUCGCAUUCAGACGUCAUCUCGCUCCCAUCCAGUACAGUCGGAAUUCUCAUGGGGAGUUCUUCCCCUAUUGAUGGUAUUUUAUCAGCCUUUCCUCUGGCGGCGAUCCACACCUUCUCGAACUCCCUCUGGAUCCCCCCUUCCAGAACAAUUGUUCUUGUGAUGGUAUUGGAGAAGUGGGCAAUACGAUGCAACCAACGAGCCUGAACAUUUGGAAUUUGGCUUGCCGUCCUUUGUGCUGGAGAACAGGAUGGCGUCACGUACUGGGAGAUAAGUGAAGCCAGCCCUUCACUGCUGAUCUUAUUGAAAGGUCCAAGGAAUGGAGGUAUGAGGCGUUCGCUCCGGCGUGAUCGGCCGCAUACAGCAACCGUGGGACUGCAUACACCUUCAAGAUUUCAACCUUCUGAAGUGGUUUCAAUGGGGCUUCCCCGAUGUCCUUCACCCAUGUGCCCAGCUUUUCCUGCAGCUCUGGUUGGGAGGGACCAAUCCAAGGGUCAGCUCCCAGGCCCAAAUAUUUCUCAGAGCUGUCAGGCUCAAUUAGAUGUAAUUGAGCUCCAUCAAUCGUCCACAGGUCGCAGUUGUUAAUUGUAUGUGAGUCUUUCAUGGGCCUUAUAAAGAACCGUGGCAUUUCGCUGCAUGCACCUUCAGCCCGGUUUGAUGGCAAAAUUCUUCCACCACUUGAAUAUUCUUUUGCAUACCGUCCCACGAGUCGCUCAGCAGCGCAAGAUCAUCUGCGAAUGCCAGUGUUGACACAGAGCUGUUCUUGUGUCUAAAGCCUUCUUUACCAUCUUCUAAUCGACACAAUAACAGGUCCAAUGAUAGGUUAAAGAGAAGCGGGGACAUCGGGUUGCCUUGCUUCAUGCCAGCGAGGAUCUUAACCUUUUCCGAGUGGGUUCCUCCAGCCGUGUCGCACUGUUGUUAUACAUUUCGGCAAUGAUGUUGAUAAUACGUCCAUCGACAUCUUUUUACCUGAGGACCUGGAAGAUGUGUUGAUGGUGGACUGAAUCAAAGGCUUUCGCCAGGUCCACAAAGACGACCCCAAGUGAUUUAUGUUCUUUCUUCGCGUAUUUGAUCAACAUCUGGAGGUGCUUGAGAUUUUCCGCACAGUCCGGGGCUGCAAUAAACCCUCUUUGGCGGCUGUUAAUUGGACAUGCUCUUCGUAGCCGUGCUGUUAGGAUCUGGGAAAACAGUCGCAAAAUAAUCGACCUGAUGGUAACGGGUCGCCAGUUGUUGAUAUCUUCUAUCUUCCCAGGAUCUGCGAAUUUGGGUAGCAGGAUCGUUCUGCACUCCUUGAUGUCAUCAGGGAUGUUCCCGGCCAAAAGCCACAGAUUGAACAAAUCGGCUAGUUGACUACCCUGAGGGUCCUUUUUUAAGAUGUCCCUCAGACUUAAGCCAUCAGGCCUGGAGGCCAAGUUCUUAUUCGCCUUGGCCAUGUUCUUCCGGACUUCCGCUGGGGAAAUCAUCUUCUUAAAAGCAGAAUUGUCUGCUACCCCUGCGCUGUGGAAAGCACCCAGACUGAGAAAGGGUCUUCCCACUUCUUUCUGAAUGAGUUGUAAAGUUCAUCCAUUGGAAGGGGGCACUUAAGUGCUUUGAUGUUAUGCAAGAUGUUACCAGCCAGCUUCUUACGAUCCAUCUCGGAGAGCCGCUGGUAUCGGUACUGGCCCCGUUUCACCACCCUUGUCUUCAUGCACUUCUUCUCCACCUUUUUGGGCGUGGGUCCAGUCUGAUGCUUUCUCAGUUGUUUCAAUUUAGCUACUGUGGCAUGUCCUGCCAGCUGUGCCAACCACUCUUCUGUUGAUCCCUUGAUGACAUUUCGGGUGUCUUUAGCACCCUCCAGGACCUCCUCAAAAGUGAUCUUCAGACUGGGGGAAAGGGUUCCCACUCGUAUUCUCUCUGCAAUAAUCUUCCUAUAUUCUGUCUUUAUCAACUCAGUCCUUUUCUUCUCAACCUGUUUGUCCCCUUCACGCCAAUGUUCAGCUUUCCUUGGCGAUGCUGAUGUCUUGGCACCUGCUGCAAGCUGGCAUCUCUUUUCACUAAUCUGCUUCGCCGUUUUUGUAGGCAAAUGCUCACCAAUCAGCUUGUUCACAAAGCGCUCGUUCUUGUAUUUCUUCUCUAUCAAUAGCGCCGUCUCCUCUUCAGUCCAACAGCUCUUAUGCAUGCCUCGGAUUCCUUUUACCUUCGGACAAGAUGACUCAAUCCUUUCCUUGUUCCUACGCAGUGGAUGCACAAGCCUUUUGUGCUGAGAGAGACCACUCUUGGUCUUAAACUCUCGGUUACAUUCUUCACACAGGAAGCUGCUGGGGCCCUCCGGCCCCCUGGCAUCUUGGGAACUGGCAGGCUAUACUGUGAUGUUUCUCAUUUGUUCUCCCAGAUCGGGAGCAUUGAAACAGGAUUUGUUGCCGACCGUGCGCUCUUCGAAGAUGGUCAGUUAGCAUCGCCAUUCUUGCCAUCUUCACACCACAGCAUGGACGUGCUGGAUGUUCAUCGGGGACCUUCACGAUUGGUGUACUCACACCAGUUGCUUCCCCCCCGGUGUCAAGAAUGGGACUCGCCACAGCCAGAACAGGGAUUGCGGGCCCAGAGGGAGAUGUCGGCACACUAUCUACCACGUCCUCCUCCGGCACUUCUUCAGUAGCGGUCACGGGAGGUGAUCCAAUAGGUGCCAGCACCUCAUAAACCUCCGGCAGAUCUUUUACGCAAUCAUAGGGUGGUUCAGGAUAAAUCCCUCCCCAACUGACAUAAUCCGAAUUAUAAAAUGUCAAAUUUGGUAAAUGGUAGGCCAACUCGUUAGUUGUUAUUACUGCUGGGAUAACCCUCGCGGCCGUGCAGGGAAAAUCCCUGGUCUGAGUGGCCACCGAGACAAAAUUGACAACCCAUGAUUUUAUUGGGUUGUUCAUGGUGUCUAUGGGGGUUCAGAAUACAACCAGAAGAACCAGCCCCCAAGUUCAACUGGUGUGCCUUUAGUUAGCCCUUAAGCCAAGGGUUUUGGACGCACGAAUGUAUAAUUCGCGGUCAGAUCAAUUUAGUUUCACCUCGAAUACUACCGAGUGGUCGGUGAAGCCAGUCAGUAGGGUAGGAAGUAACUAUAAUUCCGCAAUCACACUGGGGCAGAGGCUAACUUGGUUACCCAGAGAUGGGCAUCCAGCAGGACCACGAGGAGGUGUAGCCUCUGCAGCUAAGCCCAGCUAGUAACUAUGGCCCCAUCUUAAGAGAGUCAUAGUUACUCCCGACUUCAUUCUUUUUUGUCUAUGCCUGCUGCUAUUAUUAUUAAAUAUAUUUAAACUUAUGUCAGUUUCAUAGUAGCAAACACACUUUAGCAUUUAGUUUAAACUAAGUUUGGGUUAAGAAAUGAGUUGCCAACAUACUCUCAUUUGAAGCAUCUGAUCAGAAAUGUCUUUCCUGCAAAGCCAAAUGAAAGUUACCUUUUUUCCCUGAUGUAUUUGAGUCCAUAUUUUUAAGUGUUCCAGUAAUAUGAAGGGAGAGUUGGACUUGGCUCCUCUCAGAGGAACAGCAGUCAGCAAAAGCCUCUUAGUCCUCUUAGCCUGAGGAAUGUGUCUCUAACAGAUUGCCAGGAAAGAUUAACUGCUGCAGGUAGCACAGCUGCUGGUUCAAACAAUUUUGAUCUUUUUAUAUCUUGUGCUCAUUCUGUUUCCACAUGGAAUUGGUCCGCUUGUUAUGGAGGGCCGCAGGUAGCACAGCUGCUGGUUCAGAAGAGUCUGGUUCACUUAUAUCUUCUGUGCAUUGUUUCUAUAUAGAACUGGCCCAGUUGUUUUGGAGAGCCCCAAGGAAACCAUUUUACAAAAUAUUUGCUAACCUUUUCAAGGAGUGAAAUAUGUUCUCUCUUUUUUCAUCUUUGCAGUGGAAAAGCUUUUUCUUCAAAACUGGUAGUUACUGUAGUUUCUUUGCAUAGACUUUUCCUAAGAGAGUGUAAAAAAAAAAAAAAGAAAGAUACCAUUUAAAAAGAUGGAUUAGAAAAACUAUAAAUAUAAAAAUCCCCAUGCUUAACUGUUUCUCAGUAUGCACAGAGACUCUCUGCAUACCACUUCAGGUUUUCAGUAGUCCGUAAGGGUGGGAUGCAUUCCUUCUGACUUUCACCAUUUAGAAGGUGGGUGACCAGUCUAAGCUGUCCUCCAGUCUCACUCUAUAACUAGUCAACAGAAGUAGACAGCUACAUGUUUACCCAUCCUAAAAAGAUUGAGUGGGAUUAAUUUCCCAUGUGGUGUGCCUUUUUUUAAUGUGGGUUUUUAUUUUUUUAGGAGUGCAUGAAUUGGGGAUGCAGAAAAAAACUGAUGUUUCUCCAUAUGAGCUUACAGGAUUUAUUAUCUCAGAGAAAGUUGUGUUAACUUGCUUAUACUGCAAAGAUAAUAGGCAUGUACACUGCUGGAUGCCCUGGCCAAUUCAUAUAUAUGCUUUUUUGGGAACCUCUGGACCACCUUCUGCUGCACAGUAAAGAUAUGGCUUAGGUACUUUUGUCAUUCUUGAAGGUGCAGUUUAGGUUUCCUAUUAGAAAUUACAAAAAUACAAACACAAAUACUGAAGAGCUACUCCAGGUUCCAAAUGCUAUGUCAACAUGAUGGACUAAGGAUAGCAUUUUGGUUACUGCACUUGUGUUCCCUAGAAAGACAAAGCCAGAAUGAUAAAUAAUGAUUUAAGCAGGACUGCUGCUUUCUCCUUUGAAGGAGUGCAGCAAUUCUGAGAGGUUAAGAAGUAGAGAGAUUAGUCAAGAUCAUGGCUGUGAUGGUGUGUUCCUUCCCCUCCCCCCUCUCCAACUGUAUGUGCUCUUCCCUGCACCCCACCCUGCAACCUGACCUCUCUGUAAAAAGCACAUAUCCAGGGGCUAGUUAAACAUAUGCCCACCUGAAUACGGCUGGUAUGCAAAUAUGACUACAAGUCAACCAUCUUACCCCAUGAACAGAAGGCAGCCCAGAGCCCACUGAGCUCUCUGGAGGAGUUUGGAAAGCAAGGGGGUCCAUUCUGAACCUCAUGACUCAACGGGAGGAUCUCCUUGACACUUUCAUCUGACCCUGUCCUCCAUGCAGUAAAUAACUGAGUGUACCUUGCCAUCAAAUCUUGUUAAAUCACUGUCUUAUUUACCGCUGAACUUUGUUAAAUCGCUGCCUUAUCUGAAUAAAACAUACUGCUGCUUCUCUCAUAUGAGUGAAGUACAUCA
This is a long non-coding RNA of Dromaius novaehollandiae (emu), 5843 nucleotides long. RefSeq lists it as uncharacterized. NCBI's taxonomy places the organism in Eukaryota, Metazoa, Chordata, Aves, Casuariiformes, Dromaiidae. The record is from RefSeq and is a predicted model, not a curated record. The transcript is spliced from 5 exons.